This 175-nucleotide ribosomal RNA is filed under the name Hydnum orientalbidum. Its description in RNAcentral is "partial 28S ribosomal RNA". It matches the Rfam family "Eukaryotic large subunit ribosomal RNA", at positions 1 to 170 of the family's 3401-position model. The record is from RNAcentral. Lineage: Eukaryota; Fungi; Basidiomycota; Agaricomycetes; Cantharellales; Hydnaceae.
UUCUGACCUCGAAUCAGGUGGGACUACCCGCUGAACUUAAGCAUAUCAAUAAGCGGAGGAAAAGAAACUAACAAGGAUUCCCCUAGUAACGGCGAGUGAAGUGGGAUGAGCUCAAAUUUAAAAUCUGGUAGUCUUUGGCUGCCCGAGUUGUAAUCUAGAGAAGUGUUUUCUGUGC